Molecule: small nucleolar RNA, 106 nt
Organism: Papio anubis (olive baboon)
Lineage: Eukaryota; Metazoa; Chordata; Mammalia; Primates; Cercopithecidae
Source: Ensembl
AUUCUUUGUAUUUCAUACACGUGAUGAUCAGUGUUCACCCUCAUGAGUGAGAUGUGCCACCCUUGGACCUUGUUACAACAUCAGCACAUUACCCCUUUACAUGACU